Myotis brandtii (Brandt's bat) is the source of this 74-nucleotide non-coding RNA. The record is from Rfam. NCBI's taxonomy places the organism in Eukaryota, Metazoa, Chordata, Mammalia, Chiroptera, Vespertilionidae.
CAUUCGGGGUGGGGGUCCCUCAGCUCAGAUUGCGAGAGGGCACAGGCCAGGCCGAGGGACCCCAGCAGUGCACG